Pan troglodytes (chimpanzee) is the source of this 1494-nucleotide long non-coding RNA. RefSeq lists it as uncharacterized. NCBI's taxonomy places the organism in Eukaryota, Metazoa, Chordata, Mammalia, Primates, Hominidae. The transcript is spliced from 3 exons. The record is from RefSeq and is a predicted model, not a curated record.
CUUUGUGACAGUGUGUCAUUUUUAUUUCCCACUGCUUCAAGGUCAUGAUAUACCCAUGAAUAGCAUAUAUAUACAUGAUAGCAGUAGCUAGGUAUCCUGAAGGACCUCAUUGUUUAUCCUUCCAGUGGCUUGGAAUUGAAAGACUAAUCUAUUUGAUAAGUAAUUUGAUGGGUGACUAAACUUGUUUAUGGUGCUUAUUUUUUUAGAUUUCCCAAAAGUGAGUAUUUGAAGAGGAGUCAUCACAGCGUGGUGAUGGAGUGCAGGCUUUGCUGGCAGCUCUUGAGUCCUGCCUCUGACUCUCACUGGUAGCAUGGCUCCUCAUUACGGAAUCUAGCCUCACUUGGCCUCAGUUUCUUCAUCUGCAAAAUAGGGAUUGCAGACUUCACCUUUUAAUCUGUGUGUGAGUUCUGAGUAAGAUGGUAUCAAGUGCCUGGUCCAUAGUAUGCAUUCAAUAACUGAUUGCUCUUAAUUUAAAUCUUUUAUUUAGACUGGACAUUUUUUGAGUGUUUUAAAAACAAAAGUAAGUUGAGGCAGAUGGUAAUGCGUAUUUGCAAAUUCUUUUUGUGAAUGUUGGAAAAUUACAGUUGCAUCAAAAUACUUACUUGUAGAUAAGGCUAAUAGAAUAUAUUUGAGCCUUCUUUAAAGAAAGCAUUGCCCACAUUCGUUAAAUGCAUUAUCACAAUGUGUUCUUUUUUUUUAAACCAAUAUAUACAAAGUGAACCCAGUUUGUAUACUCUUCCCUUCCAAGAGUUCCAAAGCAGUUUUUAUCAUUUCAUUAAUCCUUCGAAUUUCUGUGAGAAGAUAGCAAAAGCAUGUUUUGUUUACUUUAAUUUAGAAAUAAAAAAGAUUAAGCUGGAAAAAAGUUGGGUGACAUACUGGGGUCACAUGGUGAGUACUAGAAAUUAAUGAACAAAAUAGACUUAAUAACAGAUAAUAGAAUUAAAAUGAAUUUUUCUGACAUUAUUUUUAGUUUUCUCCUAGAGAAUAGAUUUUAAGGAAGAUAUUUGAUGCUGUGAUAUAAAGUAAACCAUUCUUAGCAUAUUCCUUUUCUUUUGGAAAUGUUAGAUGAAAUUGCAGGCAAAGGUGGUGUAGAAGGGGGAAAAACAAUUGAGGAAGUCUAGUUGGCGAAGCAGGACUACUUAGCGAGAAUAUGGUCUGAGCCCAAGGAAACCAUCUACAACCAAGGGUUCAGGAGAGUAAGUUAAGAAGGGAAGUGGCAGAAGGAUCAUGAGUUCCUUGCUUGCAGAGUAAGUCGGGAGAUGAGAAGGAGGAAGCAAUGCUUUUGUGAGUGUCCACCAGAUUGUAGGGACAUACGAAGAGAAAAGACUGGAACCAAAUGGAUUUGAAAAAAAGGAUUAUGAUACUGAAAAGAUUGGUCCAUCCCAGCAUCUCCCAAAGCAAGUAUAUGGAUAUCUGUGUAAGAUUUACCUGAGGAACUUAUGAAAUAAAGGUUCCUAAGCUCCACUAAUGGAGGCCCACUCAGUGGGUCUGGAG